Molecule: long non-coding RNA, 805 nt
Filed under: Bos taurus (domestic cattle)
Lineage: Eukaryota; Metazoa; Chordata; Mammalia; Artiodactyla; Bovidae
Description: long non-coding RNA NONBTAT021735
Source: RNAcentral
GUCAGUGAGUAUGAUUUAUUUUUGAUGGCAUAAUGAUAAUCACUGUUUUGCUACAGAGUAACUAGGGAAAACAGGAGAACAGUAUAUAUAAAUAACCCAUGGUGAGGCCAUUUUAACACAACCAAAUAAUCAGUUUUUCCUCUUGACUAUUAAUUUUCUUCUGUCAUAUUUCCCUCAGUAUCAUACACUGUUUCAUCUGUGUGUUUUUUUUAAACCAUGCUCACAUUAACAUACCUAUAAAAUUAAAUGUCUGUAUCUUGAAAGAUAUCAGUGGCCUCAGUAUCAUACACUGUUUCAUCUGUGUGUUUUUUUUUAAACCAUGCUCACAUUAACAUACAUAUAAAAUUAAAUGUCUGUAUUUUGAAAGAUAUCAGUGGCCUGCAUUCAUUGGUUCCCAAACCUGAAAGCUCUACAAGUGAAAUACCUUAAGAAUUUUUGAGCUUCCCUUUCUUUCUAAUACCUGGCUGGAAGAAGAAGUGUUGGAGGCAGAAGAAACACUUUGGUCACGAGGCUGUGAUGAAUGGAAUUUGGGAAGCUCAGAUAAUAAAGGGGAAGCAACAGAGUAUGAUGAGGGUGACCACUGUAACCAUGACAUUUGGGAGUAAGAGGAAAAGACAAAAAGGAGAGGGGCUGUGUUUAAGGGAGAAUUAGGUCAGGAAUACAGGUGAGGAACUCUGUUGUUCUUCCUGAUCCAGCGCUCUUGAGGGUCAGUUUGGGGCAUGAUAAAAUGUCAUGGACUUGCAGCUGAUUCUAACUACACCUAAAAGCCCUUUAACAUGACAAAAAGUCUUUCAUCCCACUAGUG